GGUUCAUUAGUGUAGCGGUUAUCACUUCGGAUUCUGAUGUUCCUCUGGGAUUAGAGACCUUCCGACAACCCCGGUUCGAAUCCGGGAUGGCCUC
Molecule: non-coding RNA, 94 nt
Organism: Tulasnella sp. 427
Lineage: Eukaryota; Fungi; Basidiomycota; Agaricomycetes; Cantharellales; Tulasnellaceae
Source: the annotation of a GenBank genome assembly